UGAGGAAUAUUGGUCAAUGGGCGAGAGCCUGAACCAGCCAAGUCGCGUGAAGGAAGACAGUCCUAAGGAUUGUAAACUUCUUUUAUACGGGAAUAACGGGCGAUACGAGUAUUGCAUUGAAUGUACCGUAAGAAUAAGCAUCGGCUAACUCCGUGCCAGCAGCCGCGGUAAUACGGAGGAUGCGAGCGUUAUCCGGAUUAAUUGGGUUUAAAGGGUGCGUAGGUUGUUCGGUAAGUCAGCGGUGAAACCUGAGCGCUCAACGUUCAGCCUGCCGUUGAAACUGCCGGGCUUGAGUUCAGUGGCGGCAGGCGGAAUUCGUGGUGUAGCGGUGAAAUGCAUAGAUAUCACGAGGAACUCCGAUUGCGAAGGCAGCUUGCCAUACUGCGACUGACACUGAAGCACGAAGGCGUGGGUAUCAAACAGG
RNAcentral lists this ribosomal RNA (424 nucleotides) under Fusobacteriota bacterium. RNAcentral describes it as "Fusobacteria bacterium partial 16S ribosomal RNA". It matches the Rfam family "Bacterial small subunit ribosomal RNA", at positions 355 to 776 of the family's 1533-position model. Lineage: Bacteria; Fusobacteriati; Fusobacteriota. The record is from RNAcentral.